This 351-nucleotide ribosomal RNA is filed under the name Listeria monocytogenes. Its description in RNAcentral is "bacterial SSU rRNA". It matches the Rfam family "Bacterial small subunit ribosomal RNA", at positions 212 to 555 of the family's 1533-position model. The record is from RNAcentral. Lineage: Bacteria; Bacillati; Bacillota; Bacilli; Caryophanales; Listeriaceae.
CUAUCGCUUACAGAUGGGCCCGCGGUGCAUUAGCUAGUUGGUAGGGUAAUGGCCUACCAAGGCAACGAUGCAUAGCCGACCUGAGAGGGUGAUCGGCCACACUGGGACUGAGACACGGCCCAGACUCCUACGGGAGGCAGCAGUAGGGAAUCUUCCGCAAUGGACGAAAGUCUGACGGAGCAACGCCGCGUGUAUGAAGAAGGUUUUCGGAUCGUAAAGUACUGUUGUUAGAGAAGAACAAGGAUAAGAGUAACUGCUUGUCCCUUGACGGUAUCUAACCAGAAAGCCACGGCUAACUACGUGCCAGCAGCCGCGGUAAUACGUAGGUGGCAAGCGUUGUCCGGAUUUAUU